GGAGAUGUAGCUCAGUAGGUAGAGUGCUUACCUUAUAUGCACAAGGUCCUGGGUUCAAUCCCCAGCACCA
This 70-nucleotide transfer RNA is filed under the name Ictidomys tridecemlineatus (thirteen-lined ground squirrel). Its description in RNAcentral is "Spermophilus tridecemlineatus (thirteen-lined ground squirrel) tRNA". It matches the Rfam family "tRNA". From Rfam's summary of the family: Transfer RNA (tRNA) molecules are approximately 80 nucleotides in length. Their secondary structure includes four short double-helical elements and three loops (D, anti-codon, and T loops). Lineage: Eukaryota; Metazoa; Chordata; Mammalia; Rodentia; Sciuridae. The record is from Rfam by way of RNAcentral.